GAUGAACGCUGGCGGCGUGCCUAAUACAUGCAAGUCGAGCGAACAGAUGAGGAGCUUGCUCCUCUGACGUUAGCGGCGGACGGGUGAGUAACACGUGGAUAACCUACCUAUAAGACUGGGAUAACUUCGGGAAACCGGAGCUAAUACCGGAUAAUAUAUUGAACCGCAUGGUUCAAUAGUGAAAGACGGUUUUGCUGUCACUUAUAGAUGGAUCCGCGCCGCAUUAGCUAGUUGGUAAGGUAACGGCUUACCAAGGCAACGAUGCGUAGCCGACCUGAGAGGGUGAUCGGCCACACUAGAACUGAGACACGGUCCAGACUCCUACGGGAGGCAGCAGUAGGGAAUCUUCCGCAAUGGGCGAAAGCCUGACAGAGCAACGCCGCGUGAGUGAUGAAGGUCUUCGGAUCGUAAAACUCUGUUAUUAGGGAAGAACAAAUGUGUAAGUAACUAUGCACGUCUUGACGGUACCUAAUCAGAAAGCCACGGCUAACUACGUG
This 497-nucleotide ribosomal RNA is filed under the name uncultured bacterium. RNAcentral describes it as "partial 16S ribosomal RNA". It matches the Rfam family "Bacterial small subunit ribosomal RNA", at positions 28 to 507 of the family's 1533-position model. The record is from RNAcentral.